Salvia miltiorrhiza (redroot sage) is the source of this 594-nucleotide long non-coding RNA. RefSeq lists it as uncharacterized. The record is from RefSeq and is a predicted model, not a curated record. The transcript has 2 exons. NCBI's taxonomy places the organism in Eukaryota, Viridiplantae, Streptophyta, Magnoliopsida, Lamiales, Lamiaceae.
GAGAGCUGUUUAUAUGCAUAAAGAUUGCAGUUAGCCAACGUGAAGAGGCGGCAAACAUGAGGAUGUCGAUGGCUUCUCCUUUCUCUGGAGACCGGAGUAGCAGUUGCACGAUGACGAAUAGCUACCUGCACAGAUGAACAGCCAUUGAUCAAGAAAACUCGACAAAGAGCCUUCUUCGCUUAUCUUAAGGAUGAAAUCACGAGCGAGGCUGUCUGAAGCAUCAUCGUUUUCUUCAAAUAUGGCUUGGUAUCAGUUAACAACACCAUGAAAACUCUGCAUACUGUUUUCCCAGUUUAUCAAAUAUUCAAAGAGAAACCUCUGGUCUAAAUCAUCACAAAUGUAGGGUUCACAAACAAGCCUUCAAAUGUGCAGAAAAUAUUCAAGAUUCAUUGCAAUUCAUCUUAAUCUUCAACCUCAUAGAAACAAUGGGGGUUCAGAUGUAGGAAUCACCAUUCGCAGUGUUGUUCCAUUUAGUUAUUAGCAAUAAAUUUAUUGUUACUUUUUCUCCCCUUCUCUUUUUUACAACAAUUGAUUAGCAGUCAUGAGUUUUCUUGUUUGUGGAAAUGAUGAAAGUCUAGUAGUUUUCACCUCCAA